UACAGAGGUGGCAAGCGUUGUUCGGAAUUACUGGGCGUAAAGGGCGCGUAGGCGGUUCGUCAAGUCCUGUGUGAAAUCCCCCGGCUCAACUGGGGAACUGCACAGGAAACUAGCGGGCUUGAGUUCGGGAGAGGGAAGCGGAAUUCCGGGUGUAGCGGUGAAAUGCGUAGAUAUUCACAAGAACACCAGUGGCGAAGGCGGCUCACUGGCCCGAUACUGACGCUGAGGCACGAAAGCGUGGGGAGCAAACAGG
RNAcentral lists this ribosomal RNA (253 nucleotides) under uncultured bacterium. RNAcentral's name for it is "partial 16S ribosomal RNA". It matches the Rfam family "Bacterial small subunit ribosomal RNA", at positions 524 to 776 of the family's 1533-position model. The record is from RNAcentral.